This 409-nucleotide ribosomal RNA is filed under the name uncultured microorganism. RNAcentral describes it as "bacterial SSU rRNA". It matches the Rfam family "Archaeal small subunit ribosomal RNA", at positions 330 to 745 of the family's 1478-position model. The record is from RNAcentral.
GUGCAGCAGGCGCGAAACUUUACAAUGUGCGAAAGCACGAUAAGGGAACUCUGAGUGCCUCCUAAGGAGGCUGUUCUGAUGUCUAAAAAGCAACAGAAGUAAGGGCUGGGUAAGACCGGUGCCAGCCGCCGCGGUAACACCGGCAGCCCAAGUGGUAGCCACGUUUAUUGGGUCUAAAGCGUUCGUAGCCGGCCAGGUAAGUUCCUUGGUAAAUUUAGCCGCUUAACGGUUAAGCUUUCAGGGAAUACUGCUUGGCUUGGGACUGGGAGAGGUCAGAGGUACUCCGGGGGUAGGGGUGAAAUCUAUUAAUCCCUGGGGGACCGCCGGUAGCGAAGGCGUCUGACCAGACCAGGUCCGACGGUGAGGGACGAAGGCUAGGGGCGCGAACCGGAUUAGAUACCCGGGUAGU